GUCUAGAAUGGGACAUGGGCAUGAAUGGAGAUGUGGGGACAAUGACAGGGAUGGAAACAUGGCGGGGAGACAGCCAUGGGUGUCUUCCAAAGGCAAAUGGUGAUGGACUGGGGCAAAGACCAAGAUUUGGGGUGGAAACCCCUCCAACAAAGGCUUUUCCCUCCACUGAACCCAACCCUACAGAUACUCUCAUGAUGCUGACAAGUAACUCCUUUUUUUUUGAGUUUGAUUUUAUUUCAUCCAUUUUUAUCCCCUACAAACACAUAAAAUUGUCAUAAAAAUAAAGAAAUUGAUUUUACUCUCA
This is a non-coding RNA of Lonchura striata (white-rumped munia), 304 nucleotides long. NCBI's taxonomy places the organism in Eukaryota, Metazoa, Chordata, Aves, Passeriformes, Estrildidae. The record is from RefSeq and is a predicted model, not a curated record.